UACGAAGGGGGCUAGCGUUGCUCGGAAUCACUGGGCGUAGAGGGUGCGUAGGCGGGUCUUUAAGUCAGGGGUGAAAUCCUGGAGCUCAACUCCAGAACUGCCUUUGAUACUGAAGAUCUUGAGUUCGGGAGAGGUGAGUGGAACUGCGAGUGUAGAGGUGAAAUUCGUAGAUAUUCGCAAGAACACCAGUGGCGAAGGCGGCUCACUGGCCCGAUACUGACGCUGAGGCACGAAAGCGUGGGGAGCAAACAGG
RNAcentral lists this ribosomal RNA (253 nucleotides) under uncultured bacterium. RNAcentral's name for it is "partial 16S ribosomal RNA". It matches the Rfam family "Bacterial small subunit ribosomal RNA", at positions 524 to 776 of the family's 1533-position model. The record is from RNAcentral.